Molecule: unclassified non-coding RNA, 324 nt
Filed under: Hevea brasiliensis (rubber tree)
Lineage: Eukaryota; Viridiplantae; Streptophyta; Magnoliopsida; Malpighiales; Euphorbiaceae
Source: RNAcentral
GCAUCAUCCAAUUUGUUCUCUCUCCCUCAUUAUAAUGAGUCUUGCAUUCUAUUGUAACACCAGGGACGGCUUCACAAGCUUCUUUUGUCCUGUUGUAUGCUUUCUCCUAUUAUAUAGCUAGCUUAUCUCUAACAGCUUCUCUCGCCCCUUCACUUUUCUAGUUCUUGAGAGAAGCUAUACUUAAGUAUGAUCAAGUUGAGGUCAAAGAUGUUCUGCAGAGCGAGUUUUAAGCUUGGUGGCAAUGGUGCUAAUGGCAAUAGUAAUAAAGGAAGUGACAAAGCAGGGUCUUGCGGAGGCCUUAGUGAAAUCAAAUGGGAGCUUAGG